UUAUAUGGCGACUGUGCGUGGGGCACCUUUGCGUGCGCCGGGCUCCUUGACCCUCGGCGUACAGCUGCCACCCAA
RNAcentral lists this non-coding RNA (75 nucleotides) under Pseudomonas chlororaphis. Lineage: Bacteria; Pseudomonadati; Pseudomonadota; Gammaproteobacteria; Pseudomonadales; Pseudomonadaceae. The record is from RNAcentral.